GAAAGAGAGUUAAAAGUACGUGAAAUUGUUGAAAGGGAAACGCUUGAAGUCAGACGUGCGCGGUACUUGUACCACUGCAGGCCAGCAUCGGUUAUACGAGCCGGAUAAAGGUUAUUGGAAGGUAGCAGUCUCGGCUGUGUUAUAGCCUAUAACUGAAUACGGAUUAUAUGACCGAGGGACGCAGCGCGCCGCAAGGCAAAGGAUUCGUUCUUUCGCGCUUAGGAUGCUGGUGAAAUGGCUUUAAAUGACCCGUCUUGAAACACGGACCAAGGAGUCUAACAUGCUUGCGAGUGUUUGGGUGGUCAAACCCAUACGCGUAAUUAAAGUGAAUGGAGGUGGGAUCUUUAACCGGAGCACCAUCGACCGAUCCGGAUUUUUAAUGAAGGAUUUGAGUAAGAGCACGUAUGUUGGGACCCGAAAGAUGGUGAACUAUGCCUGAAUAGGGUGAAGCCAGAGGAAACUCUGGUGGAGGCUCGUAGCGGUUCUGACGUGCAAAUCGAUCGUCAAAUUUGGGUAUAGGGGCGAAAGACUAAUCGAACCAUCGGCUACUGGUGGUUAAGAGAGACAGGAAAGCUGAUCUCUAGUGAGUAUUUCGAACUUGCAACAUUAUCAAAUUGCUGGAAGUCCCUUCGAGGCCACGAAUACGAAGUCACCAGUCCGAAAGGAGGUGAUGGCUGCCUGACUAUGUAAUGCGUAGUUCAGUCGGGUAACGUAAUAAUUUCAUGUGUCUAACGGGUGAUCAGCAGCCAAGUCCCUUAACAGGGAUGCAGUUCAACGACUAAAUGGUGAUGGGUCCGAUCAGAUCGGGCUUAAGAUAUAGUCUGUCCCACUUGAAAAAGUGCUUAAGAAUGAAGUCCAGACUUAAAUAAAUAAUUGAAAAGGCAGGAAUUUUGGGCCGGAGUCUUUAAGGGCUGUAAUUUAUAUCACAGCUGGGAAUAUAAGGAAUAACAGUA
This 953-nucleotide ribosomal RNA is filed under the name Cyphobasidium hypogymniicola. Its description in RNAcentral is "eukaryotic LSU rRNA". It matches the Rfam family "Eukaryotic large subunit ribosomal RNA", at positions 379 to 1114 of the family's 3401-position model. The record is from RNAcentral. Lineage: Eukaryota; Fungi; Basidiomycota; Cystobasidiomycetes; Cyphobasidiales; Cyphobasidiaceae.